GACAGAGGGGGCAAGCGUUGCUCGGAAUUACUGGGCGUAAAGGGCGCGUAGGCGGAAUGGCAAGUCGGUCGUGAAAUCCUUCGGCUCAACCGAAGAACGUCGAUCGAAACUGCCGUUCUUGAGGAUUCAGAGGAGACUGGAAUUCCCGGUGUAGCGGUGAAAUGUGUAGAGAUCGGGAGGAACACCGGUGGCGAAGGCGGGUCUCUGGGCAAUUCCUGACGCUGAGGCGCGAAAGCGUGGGGAGCAAACGGG
RNAcentral lists this ribosomal RNA (252 nucleotides) under uncultured bacterium. Its description in RNAcentral is "partial 16S ribosomal RNA". It matches the Rfam family "Bacterial small subunit ribosomal RNA", at positions 524 to 776 of the family's 1533-position model. The record is from RNAcentral.